GAUGAAGAACGCAGCGAAAUGCGAUACUUGGUGUGAAUUGCAGAAUCCCGUGAACCAUCGAGUCUUUGAACGCAAGUUGCGCCCGAAGCCAUCAGGUUGAGGGAACGUCUGCCUGGGCGUCACAUAUCGUUGCCCAAUGCCUAUUGCAGUGCAAUAGGAAUUUCUAGGGCGAAUGAUGGCUUCCCGUGAGCGUUGUUGCCUCGCGGUUGGUUGAAAAUCGAGUCCUUGGUAGGGUGUGCCAUGGUAGAUGGUGGUCGAGUUAGAACGAUACCGAUCAUGUGCAUGCUCCCCAAAAUAUGGCCUCUAUGACCCACACGCGUCUUUUGACGCUCAUGACGAGACCUCAGGUCAGGCGGGGCUACCCGCUGAAUUUAAGCAUAUCAAUAAGCGGAGGA
Molecule: unclassified non-coding RNA, 395 nt
Filed under: soil metagenome
Description: partial contains 5.8S ribosomal RNA, internal transcribed spacer 2, and large subunit ribosomal RNA
Rfam family: 5.8S ribosomal RNA (bases 1-122)
Source: RNAcentral